RNAcentral lists this ribosomal RNA (162 nucleotides) under uncultured bacterium. RNAcentral's name for it is "partial 16S ribosomal RNA". It matches the Rfam family "Bacterial small subunit ribosomal RNA", at positions 357 to 511 of the family's 1533-position model. The record is from RNAcentral.
GGGAAUAUUGGACAAUGGGCGAAAGCCUGAUCCAGCCAUGCCGCGUGUGUGAAGAAGGUCUUCGGAUUGUAAAGCACUUUAAGUUGGGAGGAAGGGCAGUAAGUUAAUACCUUGCUGUUUUGACGUUACCGACAGAAUAAGCACCGGCUAACUCUGUGCCCG